RNAcentral lists this ribosomal RNA (468 nucleotides) under uncultured bacterium. RNAcentral's name for it is "partial 16S ribosomal RNA". It matches the Rfam family "Bacterial small subunit ribosomal RNA", at positions 28 to 507 of the family's 1533-position model. The record is from RNAcentral.
GACGAACGCUGGCGGCGUGCUUAACACAUGCAAGUCGAACGGAAAGGCCCUGCUUUUGUGGGUUGCUCGAGUGCCGAACGGGUGAGUAACACGUGAGUAACCUGCCCUUGACUUUGUGAUAACUCCAGGAAACUCGGGCUAAUACCGGAUAUGAGCUCCUGCUCCAUGGUGGGGGUUGGACAGUUUCGGCGGUUGGGGAUGGACUCGCGGCUUAUCAGCUUGUUGGUGGGGUAGUGGCCUACCAAGGCUUCGACGGGUAGCCGGCCUGAGCGGGUGACCGGCCACAUGGGGACUGAGAUACGGCCCAGACUCCAACGGGAGGCAGCAGUGGGGAAUAUUGCACAAUGGGCGGAAGCCUGAUGCAACAACGCCGCGUGCGGGAUGACGGCCUUCGGGUUGUAAACCGCUUUCGCCUGUGACGAAGCGUGAGUGACGGUAAUCGGUAAAGAAGCACGGGCUAACUACGUG